UGCGCGUCACGCGGUACGGUUCGUCCGAAUCGACGACGGCGAGACGGAAGCCGGUGGGAACCCGGCACGGUCGCGCCACUGUGUGCGCACCUCCCUCAGGGGGCGCGCGAGUCAGACCCGUGGCCGUCGUCCACUGCACCA
RNAcentral lists this non-coding RNA (141 nucleotides) under Streptomyces longwoodensis. Lineage: Bacteria; Bacillati; Actinomycetota; Actinomycetes; Kitasatosporales; Streptomycetaceae. The record is from RNAcentral.